Non-coding RNA from Arachis ipaensis, 567 nucleotides. Lineage: Eukaryota; Viridiplantae; Streptophyta; Magnoliopsida; Fabales; Fabaceae. The record is from RefSeq and is a predicted model, not a curated record.
GUGCAUGGAAUAAUCCUAAUCGUCCAUAAUGCCAAAUUUGUGGCAAGUUAGGACAUGUUGCCAGUUACUGUUAUUUUCGAUUUGAUCAACAAUUCCAGCAUGCCCAACAAAAUUCAGGUUCAUCCUCCAUGCACAAUGCCCUACCUCCACCUCCCUCCUUUCAUAACCCCAGAGCAUUGCUAGCUACACCCAUUACUAUGGCUGACCCUUCAUAGUAUGUUGAUUCUGGAGCUUCUCAUCACUGUACUCCAGGUCAGUCCAACUUACAGCAAUCACAAGAAUACCAUGGUCAAGAUCAGGUGUAUAUAAGUAAUGGUUCAGGCUACCAAGGAGGUGCUUCUCCAAGGAACAACAACUAAUGGCAUGUAUAGAUUUCAAAAAGUUUAUAUUCUAAAAAUAAAAACAGAUUGUAGUCAGUUUAAUUCUCAUGUUCUUAUAGCUAAACUUUAUCUCUAGAUAUGUAUCACAAGAGAUUUGGUCACCCAACAAUGCAAAUUGUAAAAUCCAUUAUAGCAAGUUAUUCACUACCUAUUAAUAAUAAUGAAUCUAAUACUGUUAUGUGUGAUU